AGAGAAGAAGCCUAGCUCAGUGGUAGAGUGCCUGCUUUGCAUGCAGAAGGCUCCAUGCUCAAUCCCUGACUUCUCCA
Podarcis lilfordi (Lilford's wall lizard) is the source of this 77-nucleotide non-coding RNA. Lineage: Eukaryota; Metazoa; Chordata; Lepidosauria; Squamata; Lacertidae. The record is from the annotation of a GenBank genome assembly.